AGCAGCCGCGGUAAUUCCAGCUCCAAUAGCGUAUAUUAAAGUUGUUGCGGUUAAAAAGCUCGUAGUUGAAUUUCGGGGUCAGUAAGUUGGUCGUGCCACUGGUAUGUACUGGCUUUACUGAUUCCUCCUUCUUGUAGAACCGUAAUGCCAUUAAGUUGGUGUUGCGGGAAAACAGGACUGUUACUUUGAAAAAAUUAGAGUGUUUAAAGCAAGCUAACGCUUGAAUACAUUAGCAUGGAAUAAUGAAAUAGGACGAACGAUCCUAUUUUGUUGGUUUCUAGGAUUGACGUAAUGAUUAAUAGGGAUAGUUGGGGGCAUUAGUAUUCAAUUGUCAGAGGUGAAAUUCUUGGAUUUAUUGAAGACUAACUACUGCGAAAGCAUUUGCCAAGGAUGUUUUCAUUAAUCAAGAACGAAAGUUAGGGGAUCGAAGACGAUCAGAUACCGUCGUAGUCUUAACCAUAAACUAUGCCGACUAGGGAUCGGAUGAUGUUAAUUUUUUUAAUGACUCGUUUGGCACCUU
RNAcentral lists this ribosomal RNA (520 nucleotides) under uncultured Glomus. Its description in RNAcentral is "SSU rRNA". It matches the Rfam family "Eukaryotic small subunit ribosomal RNA", at positions 569 to 1089 of the family's 1831-position model. Lineage: Eukaryota; Fungi; Glomeromycota; Glomeromycetes; Glomerales; Glomeraceae. The record is from RNAcentral.